GACGAACGCUGGCGGCGUGCUUAACACAUGCAAGUCGAACGGAAAGGCCCUGCUUUUGUGGGGUGCUCGAGUGGCGAACGGGUGAGUAACACGUGAGUAACCUGCCCUUGACUUUGGGAUAACUUCAGGAAACUGGGGCUAAUACCGGAUAGGAGCUCCUGCUGCAUGGUGGGGGUUGGAAAGUUUCGGCGGUUGGGGAUGGACUCGCGGCUUAUCAGCUUGUUGGUGGGGUAGUGGCUUACCAAGGCUUUGACGGGUAGCCGGCCUGAGAGGGUGACCGGCCACAGUGGGACUGAGAUACGGCCCAGCCUCCUGCGGGGGGGAGCAGUGGGGAAUAUUGCACAAUGGGCGGAAGCCUGAUGCAGCAGCGCCGCGGGCGGGAUGACGGCCUUCGGGUUGUAAACCGCUUUCGCCUGUGACGAAGCGUGAGUGACGGUAGUGGGUAAAGAAGCACCGGCUAACUACGUG
This 468-nucleotide ribosomal RNA is filed under the name uncultured bacterium. RNAcentral's name for it is "partial 16S ribosomal RNA". It matches the Rfam family "Bacterial small subunit ribosomal RNA", at positions 28 to 507 of the family's 1533-position model. The record is from RNAcentral.